CUUAUUUAAUGCAAGCUUUUUAAUGAAAAAUUAUAAUGUUACUAUUAACCAGUUCUUAAUUAUAAUAAUUAGACAUUUGCUAUAUAUCAAAUAGUUUGCAUUCACCUUGACAUUUAAUCUUCCCUAUCUCAUCUCAAAGACAGUUAAAUGAGGUUCAGAAGAGUUUUAUGAUUUGCUGAAAUUGAAUAGUUGAACAAUACAAAGGUCAUAUGUGAGGUUCGUAACAUAACAUGAGAUUAUUUUUGGAAGAAAUGUUAUAACUCAUCUCUAUAUUAAAAAUUGUCAGAAUUCCUUUCAGGACUCUACUUGGGAAUAAAAGGAAAUGUUAAAUGCUCAAAUUUUAAACCUUUAAACAAAGUAAUGUACAAUGAUCAGACCAUUCUAAAUAGCUUCUGCUCUCUAUUUUUAAAUAAAACCUUGACAGUAAUCUUCAGUCACAAAAUAAGUAUUGGUAAUUGUAUGUCAACUUAACCUGUAUCUUAGAAUAGGAACAAAAAGCCUAGAAUGGUUUCCUUUUGUCUUACCAACAGGGCUGCCAAGGCUGGCAAGGAUGGUAAGAAAAGGGUGUGGAGCUGCCUGGAAGUGUAAAGAGGAGUCAGGCACGCGUAGGAACUGCUACUUUUCAUAACAAUGUCAAUUUCAUGUAUUUUAAUUUCUCUUGAAAACUACCUGAGUAGAGUACAACCUAGAAGAACAGGCCAACCACCCAAGAUUAGGAAAGAAGCACAGAGAGAUGUUCACGCAUCCAAAAUCUCCCAUGGACACAGUCUAUAAUUUAGAGUCGUAUUUGGAUUGGUGCUACAAGAAAAAAACCUGUUCACUAGAGGAUCUCACUUUUCCUGUUCUCCCGUAAUAUGGACAAGGUGUUUCUGAGCUUGGGCUCUCCACCUGCGCAGAAUGGAGUUCCUGUAGUGUGGCUCAAGGGCGAGGAAAGAAGAACUAAGCUUCAGAGAGACCACAGCUAUUGUCCUUCUGCCCUGGAAUUCUUUCUGCAACAGUCUCAAGAGUUUCUCUGGGCAUCUGCAGUUGAAACGCAUCCACUGUAAACAAAAUAUCUCAAAAUGGUAGAAUACAUUGGCACGAAAAGAGAAAAAACUUCUUCCUAGGAGAAAUGAUAUGCUAAAACCCUUGGAAGCAUUUAUGUCAUUUAAGAGGGACCAGUGGGUCUAGAGCCUAAGCAAAGAUAUAGUAAGAUUAACAGAAAUUGUCAGCUGGAAACAAGAACUAGAAUAAAAGAUAAAAUUUAAUUCAAAGAAUUUGUACAUCAGCCCUUAGUUAAAGUGCCUUCAGAUGCAUUAGUCCUAAGCUGUCAAAAAUUCAUUGAGCAGCAGACUGGUGAGCUAAUAAAAAUGCGCCUAUUUGCAGGCUGUGAAAGAAGGUAACUCUUCCCUUUUCAUAUCUUAACUGUGGCCUUUCUAUCGUCUACUUAUAUAUGUAAAUCAUUUGACUCUAUUACUAGAGACAUAAUCACCUGAAUUCUCGGACUCCACUGCCCAGAAUUUAUUCCUUUUUAUGAUUUUCUUCUUUAGAUUAUAUAAUAUUCUGCUUAUAUCCUAAUGGUGCAUGUUAAUACACAGAGACAUACCCACAUGUUUACAUAUUCUCAAUAUUAAAGGAGAGAGAAAUUACUGAAAGCUUUGAGUUCUUAAUACAAAGCAUAACUCAUGAAAUAUUCCCAAUGGACAAAGCAUUGUGCAGAACACUGUCUAGCCCACUGCCAUAAAGGUAAGAAUUUACUCUGAUUCUUGGGCACUUGGACAGUGGUCAAUAUCUGGCCAGGUGGCAAAGAAUUUAUGAGAUUGAAAAAUUGGAGCAAAGGAGGCUUGGAAAGGAGUGUGUGCGUGGAAUACUUGGAAAAGGCCCAGAUUAUAAAAAUGUUUGUACCCCAUGUGGAUUAUAACAUCUCCACUCCUCAUAAAAUGAGCCUUAAUAACCCAGAUAACCAGAUAUAUAGGCUGGAAUAUGAAUGUGAGUCAUUCUCCUUCCAUGGUUAACCCAGGACUUCAGGCUUUUAAACAAAGUUGUUAUGGUGACAAGGAUGGAAGUUACACAUGAGCUUAGUUAACUGAUGCUACUACUGAAUAUCCAAUGUGUCAGUAAUAGUGGCCAAAUAUGAUGCCUUAAGGGAAGUAGCAGCUAUCUGGUAACUGUUCAGUUAAAUUGUAGCCUUUUCAUUGCCAAGGAAACAAUCCAUAAAAUAUUGCCUUUAAUCAAGCUACUAGCUUCAAGUUUUAAAUCAGCAAGCCGAUGUCCGAAGGCAAUAAUCCUUAUGGAAUAGUCAAAUGCCUUGUUGGAAACUUUGCUGCACUCCCAAUGAGCAGACAAGACUUUGUCAGGUUGGGAUGCUGACUUGAAGGAUGUGGUUUUUGUUCUGGAUCAAUGCCAAGGUAUGUGGUCUGUUUAUCCAAAAACGCACAAGUCUUAGUAUGAAGGGGAAAGAGGCAGAUGAUGGCCCUAUAAUUAUAUCUAAUGAUCUUCUUUAUGAAUCGUUUGCUUUUGAGCCCAGGAAUUUUCUUUUCUUUAAGUUUUAGUGCCCAAGAAAGGUACAUGUGUACCAAUGAACACAAUGUUUUCUCUGAAUUAAAAAUAGAAGCUGCAUCGUGAUAGUUUUGGUUUUAUCCUGUCUCUAGGUAAAGAGUUAAGAAUUGCAGCUAUGCCAUCGUUUGACAUUGACUAUCAAGGGUAAACAGGAUUUCUGGUCUACAAUGGGGGCUGGAAAGAGUUAAGAUAGAAUGCUGUACAAUAAUGAAAAUCAGUGAGUGUGCUUCAAGCCUUUGUAGAAAGGACCAGGAAGUCCUAUAUGAGAUGAAGGAUUGGCUCACAUCACUAAGGAAAAAGUACCAACCAGCUAGGAUUCUGUCCAAAUGCAAGAGAAACAUGGAAUAGGUAGUGGAGAAAGGAAGUGAAAGUUACCAGAGGCGCUAUCGGCAGAAGUGAGCACUCUGGCCUGCACACA
Molecule: long non-coding RNA, 2956 nt
Organism: Equus caballus (horse)
Lineage: Eukaryota; Metazoa; Chordata; Mammalia; Perissodactyla; Equidae
Source: Ensembl